GAUGAACGCUGGCGGCGUGCCUAAUACAUGCAGGUCGAGCGAACGGACGCGACGCUUGCUUUUCUGAUGUUAGCGGCGGACGGGUGAGUAACACGUGGAUAACCUCCCUAUCAGUCUGGGAUAACUUCGGGACACCGGCGCUUAUACCGGAUAAUCUUUUGCUCCGCAUGGUUCAAAAGUGAAAGACGGUGUUGCUGUCAGUUAUCGCUGGAUCCGCGCUGCAUUAGCUAGUUGGUACGGUCACGGCCUACCAAGGCAACGAUGCAUAGACGACCUGAGGGGGUGGUCGGCCACACUGGAGCGGGGACACGGUCCAGACUCCUGCGAGAGGCAGCAGUAGGGAAUCUGCCGCAAUGGGCGAAAGCCUGACGGAGCAACGCCGCGUGAGUUAUGAAGGUCUUCGGAUCGUAAAACUCUGUUAUUAGGGAAGAACAUAUGUGUAAGGAACUGUGGACAUCUUGACGGUACCUAAUCAGAAAGCCACGGCUAACUACGUG
RNAcentral lists this ribosomal RNA (497 nucleotides) under uncultured bacterium. RNAcentral's name for it is "partial 16S ribosomal RNA". It matches the Rfam family "Bacterial small subunit ribosomal RNA", at positions 28 to 507 of the family's 1533-position model. The record is from RNAcentral.